This 478-nucleotide ribosomal RNA is filed under the name uncultured bacterium. RNAcentral's name for it is "partial 16S ribosomal RNA". It matches the Rfam family "Bacterial small subunit ribosomal RNA", at positions 28 to 523 of the family's 1533-position model. The record is from RNAcentral.
GACGAACGCUGGCGGCGUGCUUAACACAUGCAAGUCGAGCGGUAAGGCCUUUCGGGGUACACGAGCGGCGAACGGGUGAGUAACACGUGGGUGAUCUGCCCUGCACUCUGGGAUAAGCCUGGGAAACUGGGUCUAAUACUGGAUAUGACCUCAGCAUGCAUGUGCUGGGGUGGAAAGCUUUUGUGGUGCAGGAUGGGCCCGCGGCCUAUCAGCUUGUUGGUGGGGUAAUGGCCUACCAAGGCGACGACGGGUAGCCGACCUGAGAGGGUGACCGGCCACACUGGGACUGAGACACGGCCCAGACUCCUACGGGAGGCAGCAGUGGGGAAUAUUGCACAAUGGGCGGAAGCCUGAUGCAGCGACGCCGCGUGAGGGAUGAAGGCCUUCGGGUUGUAAACCUCUUUCAGCAGGGACGAAGCGUGAGUGACGGUACCUGCAGAAGAAGCACCGGCUAACUACGUGCCAGCAGCCGCGGUAA